CAAUAGAAAAUUAAAACAUCCUUUCAUCUUUUAAUCACCUGUUAUUCUCUAACAUUUGCAGAAUGUAACUGGAAGCCCAUAGACAAGGGGGUCUGGGAAAUGCAGUUUGUGGAGUUCCGGCUCCCCCAUAAUUCAGCACAGAAGAGUACGAGUGAAGGCUUACAGCACAUGGAGAGAAGUCCUCCUGCAUAUUAAUCCAUGUGGGGGAUGAAGGCAAGGCGUGUGGGAAUACAGUCAUGAGGCUAUUAAUGACUCCAUGGGAGGAAGGAGCCGAGAAACCUUGGGACCAACUGCUCUGUUCUGGACACUGGAUUACUCGACUGGAGUGUGAGGAGGUCAAAUCCAGAGAUGGAAAAAGUUGGAAGGAGAAAAAGAGAGAGAUAGAAAGUAGAAGGCACAGAGAGAAGAAGCAGAGAAACAUAAAAGAAAAUGAGAAAUAUACAAGUACGUGGACACAAAGAUGUAGGGAAAGUACAGAGACAAAGGCAUUCAGAAAAGCUUUCUGUCUUGGGCUAGAGACAUGCGGAGGUUUUGGAGGCAGUCUUGGUGCAGGCAGGCCACAAGAGGAGAGUCUUGGUUGA
Molecule: long non-coding RNA, 581 nt
Filed under: Fukomys damarensis (Damara mole-rat)
Lineage: Eukaryota; Metazoa; Chordata; Mammalia; Rodentia; Bathyergidae
Description: lncRNA (ENSFDAG00000024643.1)
Source: RNAcentral